UCCCCUGCAUGUCUCCGGCUGAUCGCUGCCGCUCCGCCAAUACAAUAGAGCCAGCCACUACCAGCAGCCUGGCCCUCUUCCUCCUUCUCCAGAGAGACCAAUCCAGCCGAACUCGGGGUUUGCCGUGAGGACUUAACGCUUAUCUCUUAAAAGCCAGAUCUGUUUUAGCCUCCCCGCACCACCACCACCUCCCCUUCCAUUUACCAUUUUUUGGAUCCCCGGUUGCUACAUCUCAAUUUUCUCUCUCUGGAUCGGGUGGCUGGGGAGGAGGUGGUGGGAUCUUGGAACAAGGAAGGUGUGGUUUUUUUUCUUUAUUUUUUUUAGGAUUUUUUUUGUUUGGUUUUUGUUAUUUCUUCCAUUCCAGAAAGGGAUAAACAGCACUUCCAGGGGGAGAAAAAAAAUCAUGUUAUCAGAAAGCAAAGAAGGUGAGGAGAAGGAGGAAGUGACCAUGGACACAAGUGAAAACAGACCUGAAAAUGAUGUUCCAGAACCUCCCAUGCCUAUUGCAGACCAAGUCAGCAAUGAUGACCGCCCGGAGGGCAGUGUUGAAGAUGAGGAGAAGAAAGAGGGGGCCAAGAAGAACACUGUUCUGGAGAGACUUGUAUUGAGCAAGCAAAAAACAUUUGGAAAGGGGUGGACUUG
This 642-nucleotide non-coding RNA is filed under the name Pan troglodytes (chimpanzee). The record is from RNAcentral. RNAcentral also lists the same sequence under 1 other name. Lineage: Eukaryota; Metazoa; Chordata; Mammalia; Primates; Hominidae.